CAGCCGCCGCGGUAAUACGUAGGUCCCGAGCGUUGUCCGGAUUUAUUGGGCGUAAAGCGAGCGCAGGCGGUUAGAUAAGUCUGAAGUGAAAGGCAGUGGCUCAACCAUUGUAGGCUUUGGAAACUGUUUAACUUGAGUGCAGAAGGGGAGAGUGGAAUUCCAUGUGUAGCGGUGAAAUGCGUAGAGAUGUGGAGGAACACCAGUGGCGAAGGCGACUCUCUGGUCUGUAACUGACGCUGAGGAGCGAAAGCGUGGGGAGCGAACAGGAUUAGAUACCCGCGUAGUCCCUGUCUCUUAUACC
This 301-nucleotide ribosomal RNA is filed under the name uncultured bacterium. Its description in RNAcentral is "partial 16S ribosomal RNA". It matches the Rfam family "Bacterial small subunit ribosomal RNA", at positions 509 to 808 of the family's 1533-position model. The record is from RNAcentral.